Molecule: RNA transcript, 2419 nt
Organism: Vicia villosa (hairy vetch)
Lineage: Eukaryota; Viridiplantae; Streptophyta; Magnoliopsida; Fabales; Fabaceae
Exons: 9
Source: RefSeq, a predicted model, not a curated record
AAGAGACAAACAAUAACGCUGAGGGCUUUUUCCAAAAACUCCAGGGAGCCCUAAAAGCUAUUUUUUCUCUCAUCUUCCUCGCGUAACAACAACAAUACGCUCAAACAUUUCAUCUAUUUUUCAGAUAAAGAGUUUCACGGUUAUGUUUGGUGUUCGCAAAGGUUUUCUGUUCAGAAUCGAAUUGCUACUCAGUUUUGUUUUGGUUCUAGUUUAGAGGUUUCGACUCAGUGCAGAGUUUGGAUUCGAGCAGAGCUUUUUCACAGUACAGAUUUUGUAUCCGAGCCAAGUUUUUGGUACAGUUUGAUUGUGAUUCGAUUUCGGUGCAGUUGUUGGUUUGAAUUAAAAUUAAAGUGAGUAUACAACAUAAUAAAGCUAAAUUGGAUGAGAGCUUACCGGUUGAAAUGAAGAAAAAUGCAGAAUUUGUCCUCGCUCGCAAGGUGUUCGAUGAAAUGUGCCAACCGAAUUCCUUUUGUGGCGAAGUUAGCGGUGAGAGAGGAAUUUGAUUUAGUUGAUGUUAACGGCUCAACGAAAUCGAGGAAUGUUGAUUGUAUGAGUAUUGUGGAUGAUGAUAAAGGACUUGGUCCUACUGUUCCUUCUCAGAACGAAAGCGAAGGAAGAUAGCUCGGAGAAGGAGAAGUCUCUCGAUCUCUUUCUGAAGAUCGGCUUAGACGAACGCACAGCUCGAAACACCAUCGCCAACAACAAAGUCACUACUAAUCUCACUGCUGUUAUCCACGAGGCCGGUGUUACCGACGGAUGCAGCCGAUCAGUUGGGAACCUUAUUUAUACGGUGAGUUACAAUGAAGCAGAAGUGGUUGUGAUUGGAUUUUGGAGUGGAUUUGCUUGGUUGGCUGGAAUGACCGUGCUCAUUGCUAUAUUGUCUGAAUAUGUGGUGGAUACAAUUGAGUUAUGCAUAAGUCAGGAGCAUGUUUGGAUUGACUUAUUGUAAGGAUGCAUCAGAUUCAUGGGGUUUAUCUGUGAGCUUCCUCAGCAUAAUCUUGCUACCUAUAGUUGUUCCUGAAUGAUACCAUGGUGAGUGGUCAAAUGUUCACAUAAUGUGAUACAAAGAUGAAGUAAAGACAUCUUUAGAGAUUUCAGUUAAUCAUAUUCACAAGAGAUUUAUAAGUAUACAUACAAGAGAAACAUGAUUCCAUAAUAUCAGAAUCAAAUUGGCAUCCAAGCCAAGGGAACUAUGAGAGGCUAAUGAAGAUGAACGAAUAACGGCAUAAUCAUAGUCAUCAUUCCCCCUUAACUUGAUGCAUAGAUAUUAGAUGCAUCCAACUUAUUACAUAUGAAAGCUAUCCUAGGACCCAAUAAAGAUUCGGUAAACAUGUCAGCAACUUUUCAACACUUAUAUGGUUUCUCUAAUUGCCAUUUUUAAUCUUGUAAAAAAUGUUGAUGCAAGUGCUACACCAAGAUAUUGCAGCUGCUAUUUCGAAUAUUUCGCUUGAUGGGCUAAAUGUUUCAGUUCAUUUGAUGCAAUGGGAGUGUUUGAGAGCUUUACCCUUUCAGAUUGGUGUUAUAGUAAUCAACAUUGUUUGGAGUUAGCCAAAAAGCAUAUGAGCAGUAGAAGGGACUAUGUAACUGCAUUCGUCAAUGUACUUCGGUCUCAUCGGUGAUGGUCAACCUAUUGGAUGCUACGAAGACAUGUGGAUUUUGAAUCAACCUUUUUUUAAUCCACACUCUAUCCAUGACGCAAUACCCGUUUCCACCAUCGAAAACCCUAGCUUCUAUGAUUCCACUUCUUCAACAUCAUCAUCAUCAUCAUCAUCAUCAGAUGAAGAUUCACGGCGCGAGAGUUCGAAAUCGAGAGCCAAGUACGAGGACGAACAUGCUCGUUUGCUUCACGCCUCACUCACUCAUGUGAUGAAGCUGGGAUGGACAGAAGCUGCGUUAAUUGCUGGAGCGAAGGAUGUUGGUCUUUCUCCUUCUAUUGUUGGAUCUUUGUCAAGGAAGGAAGCUGCAUUGGUUGAGGUACAUUUCCAUCUCUAUCUUAGUUUUUAGUAAUGGAAUUUAAUAGUAAUUGGUAAAGGAAUUAUGAGAAAAAGAAAAGAUAGUUAAAGUUGAGAGAAAAGCAAUUAAAGGAAAAGUUAAUUACUGUAUUAAACAUCUUUUGUUUAAGUUUAGUUCAGAUUAUUUAAUUCAGUCAGUUAAAAUAAUUGCUGAUUAUCUGUUAGUAUGAUUUAAGUAGAGUAGUUGUUAAAGUAUAGAGAACAGUUCAAUCCUCAGUCAUAGUUAGAAGGACUAUAGUUAGUUUUGUGAGAUAAUUCAAUUGUUGAGGUUUUUACUGAUUUUGUUGUUAAACUUGUCGUGUUCAAUGGAAAGACCUUCAAUCAAGUUGAAACUCACUGUAGGCAUUCAUUUCCAUGAUGAAACGAUAAAACAAUAUUAUUCUGACGUUGCUUCAGUUUUUGAUUCA